UACCAGGUCUUGACAUCCUCUGACAACCCUAGAGAUAGGGCGUUCCCCUUCGGGGGACAGAGUGACAGGUGGUGCAUGGUUGUCGUCAGCUCGUGUCGUGAGGUGUUGGGUUAAGUCCCGCAACGAGCGCAACCCUUGAUCUUAGUUGCCAGCAUUAAGUUGGGCACUCUAAGGUGACUGCCGGUGACAAACCGGAGGAAGGUGGGGAUGACGUCAAAUCAUCAUGCCCCUUAUGACCUGGGCUACACACGUGCUACAAUGGAUGGUACAAAGAGCUGCAAACCCGCGAGGGUAAGCGAAUCUCAUAAAGCCAUUCUCAGUUCGGAUUGUAGGCUGCAACUCGCCUACAUGAAGCCGGAAUCGCUAGUAAUCGCGGAUCAGCAUGCCGCGGUGAAUACGUUCCCGGGCCUUGUACACACCGCCCGUCACACCACGAGAGUUUGUAACACCCGAAGUCGGUGAGGUAACCGCAAGGAGCCAGCCGCCUAAGGUGGGAUAGAUGAUUGGGGUGAAGUCGUAACAAGGUAGCC
This 530-nucleotide ribosomal RNA is filed under the name uncultured bacterium. RNAcentral's name for it is "bacterial SSU rRNA". It matches the Rfam family "Bacterial small subunit ribosomal RNA", at positions 972 to 1501 of the family's 1533-position model. The record is from RNAcentral.